This 679-nucleotide ribosomal RNA is filed under the name Rhyncaphytoptus ulmi. RNAcentral's name for it is "bacterial SSU rRNA". It matches the Rfam family "Eukaryotic small subunit ribosomal RNA", at positions 389 to 910 of the family's 1831-position model. Lineage: Eukaryota; Metazoa; Arthropoda; Arachnida; Trombidiformes; Diptilomiopidae. The record is from RNAcentral.
ACAAGCCUGAGAAACGGCUAGUAGGACUAAGGUCUGCAGCAGGCGCGAAACUUACACAAUGCUAGAUUUUGUUAAUUAGCGAUGUAGUGAAGAAAAAUAACGAUGUACUUGUAUUUAAACAUACUAGUACAAUUGGAAUGAGACGACUCUAAACCAGUUAGUCGAGUAACAAAUGGAGGGCAAGUCUGGUGCCAGCAGCCGCGGUAAUUCCAGCUCCAUUAGCAUACAUUAAAGUUGUUGCGGUUAAAAAGCUCGUAGUUGAAGUUUUGGGUGUUUGUUAGAUGAUGUUUCACUAAGGGAUCUUCGGAUCCUGAAACAACUAUCUAAUAGGCGCCGGUUUCGUCACUUAAUCGAGUGCGAAGCGGGGUCGAUUUGAAAUUUUUAACUAAAUUUUCAGAACGACCAUGUUUACCUUGAGAAAAUUAGAGUGCUCAGAGCAGGCAGUUUUGGUGUAAAAGCCGAUUUAUGCUUGAAUAAUGUUGCAUGGAAUAAUAGAAUACGGCCUCGGUUCUAUUCUGUUGGUCUUAUAGAACAACAAACAGGUGUGUUAUAAAGGCUGGGUAUAGGUUGUCUUAAAGGUAAAAAAUUUAAGUACCCUACCAUAAAACAGUCUUAACUAUCACCGGAGGCAAUGGUUAAAAGAAAUAGUCGCGGCGGCAUCAGUACUGCAUCGUGAGAG